Molecule: ribosomal RNA, 506 nt
Filed under: uncultured bacterium
Lineage: Bacteria
Description: partial 16S ribosomal RNA
Rfam family: Bacterial small subunit ribosomal RNA
Source: RNAcentral
AGUGAACGCUGGCGGUAGGCCUAACACAUGCAAGUCGAACGGCAGCACAGGAGAGCUUGCUCUCUGGGUGGCGAGUGGCGGACGGGUGAGGAAUACAUCGGAAUCUACUCUGUCGUGGGGGAUAACGUAGGGAAACUUACGCUAAUACCGCAUACGACCUACGGGUGAAAGCAGGGGAUCUUCGGACCUUGCGCGAUUGAAUGAGCCGAUGUCGGAUUAGCUAGUUGGCGGGGUAAAGGCCCACCAAGGCGACGAUCCGUAGCUGGUCUGAGAGGAUGAUCAGCCACACUGGAACUGAGACACGGUCCAGACUCCUACGGGAGGCAGCAGUGGGGAAUAUUGGACAAUGGGUGCAAGCCUGAUCCAGCCAUACCGCGUGGGUGAAGAAGGCCUUCGGGUUGUAAAGCCCUUUUGUUGGGAAAGAAAUCCAGCUGGCUAAUACCCGGUUGGGAUGACGGUACCCAAAGAAUAAGCACCGGCUAACUUCGUGCCAGCCGCAGCCGUAA